Molecule: transfer RNA, 92 nt
Filed under: Verrucomicrobiia bacterium
Lineage: Bacteria; Pseudomonadati; Verrucomicrobiota; Verrucomicrobiia
Description: tRNA-Ser
Rfam family: tRNA
About the family: Transfer RNA (tRNA) molecules are approximately 80 nucleotides in length. Their secondary structure includes four short double-helical elements and three loops (D, anti-codon, and T loops).
Source: RNAcentral
GGAAGGGUGGCUGAGUCCGGUCUAAGGCACACGACUCGAAAUCGUGCGAGGGGUUAUACUCUCCGUGGGUUCGAAUCCCACCCCUUCCGCCA